UACGUAGGGGGCGAGCGUUGUCCGGAUUUAUUGGGCGUAAAGAGCUCGUAGGUGGUUUGGUAAGUCGGAUGUGAAAUCUCCAGGCUCAACCUGGAGGGGUCAUUCGAUACUGCCAUGACUAGAGUUCGGUAGGGGAGUGUGGAAUUCCUGGUGUAGCGGUGGAAUGCGCAGAUAUCAGGAGGAACACCGGUGGCGAAGGCGGGUCUCUGGGCAGUAACUGACGCUGAGGAGCGAAAGUGUGGGGAGCGAACAGG
RNAcentral lists this ribosomal RNA (254 nucleotides) under uncultured bacterium. RNAcentral describes it as "partial 16S ribosomal RNA". It matches the Rfam family "Bacterial small subunit ribosomal RNA", at positions 524 to 776 of the family's 1533-position model. The record is from RNAcentral.